AGUGAACGCUGGCGGUAGGCCUAACACAUGCAAGUCGAACGGCAGCACAGUAAGAGCUUGCUCUUACGGGUGGCGAGUGGCGGACGGGUGAGGAAUACAUCGGAAUCUACUUUUUCGUGGGGGAUAACGUAGGGAAACUUACGCUAAUACCGCAUACGACCUACGGGUGAAAGCAGGGGAUCUUCGGACCUUGCGCGAUUGAAUGAGCCGAUGUCGGAUUAGCUAGUUGGCGGGGUAAAGGCCCACCAAGGCGACGAUCCGUAGCUGGUCUGAGAGGAUGAUCAGCCACACUGGACUGAGACACGGUCCAGACUCCUACGGGAGGCAGCAGUGGGGAAUAUUGGACAAUGGGCACAAGCCUGAUCCAGCCAUACCGCGUGGGUGAAGAAGGCCUUCGGGUUGUAAAGCCCUUUUGUUGGGAAAGAAAAGCAGCAGGUUAAUACCCCGCUGUUCUGACGGUACCCAAAGAAUAAGCACCGGCUAACUUCGUG
Molecule: ribosomal RNA, 491 nt
Filed under: uncultured bacterium
Lineage: Bacteria
Description: partial 16S ribosomal RNA
Rfam family: Bacterial small subunit ribosomal RNA
Source: RNAcentral